RNAcentral lists this ribosomal RNA (273 nucleotides) under uncultured Robinsoniella sp. Its description in RNAcentral is "partial 16S ribosomal RNA". It matches the Rfam family "Bacterial small subunit ribosomal RNA", at positions 524 to 796 of the family's 1533-position model. Lineage: Bacteria; Bacillati; Bacillota; Clostridia; Lachnospirales; Lachnospiraceae. The record is from RNAcentral.
UACGUAGGGGGCAAGCGUUAUCCGGAUUUACUGGGUGUAAAGGGAGCGUAGACGGCAUGGCAAGUCAGAUGUGAAAGCCCGGGGCUCAACCCCGGGACUGCAUUUGAAACUGUCAGGCUGGAGUGCAGGAGAGGUAAGUGGAAUUCCUAGUGUAGCGGUGAAAUGCGUAGAUAUUAGGAGGAACACCAGUGGCGAAGGCGGCUUACUGGACUGUAACUGACGUUGAGGCUCGAAAGCGUGGGGAGCAAACAGGAUUAGAAACCCGAGUAGUCC